CCGCCACGGUAAGCACCGAGUGUCAGACAAACAAAUGAGACAGCCAUAAAAAGCUGACACAGGCCGGGCCAUAAGUGAAAGGCCCAGGCGAAGCCAGAACUUCGCAAAUCUCAAGCAAGCAAGCAAGCAGGGCCCAGGCCAUAACCCAGGAGAGGGGGCUUGCGUAUCAAGAAAUCACCCAUCAGCGUUGGGUUAAAGGAAAGCAUACUGAACAGAAAAUCAGGUCUGCAGAUAACACAGAAAUAUGAUAAGUCUGGUUUCAAGUAGCCAGAUGCAGCCAUGGUACCAGAGCCAACUUUGUUUUCGUUCCAUUUCUGCCCCAAAUUCCUCAAAUAGCAAGCCUAGAACAGGCUAUGCAUUGGGUCUUGCACUCAGACAAUGCUAGAGGUGUAUUGGUUUGGGGCAACAGUACUUGACUUGCAUAGGUUAAACCUAAAAAUAAGAGUCAGUACAAUUAUGGUGGACUCCCAUAGGUUAGUAUUUGUUUGAUAUUGGUUUGGACACCUCUACAAACAUUAGCAUUUGGAAAAAUGAGAAACCUCAAAUAGCUUUGCAUAGACCUUUUAUUACCCAUGUGGACGGUAGGCCACAUUUAGCAUUUGUCUUCAUACUGUUUUAUUAUGAAUUGAUAUAGUGUACUGUCCUAAUCAGAAGAUAUCCCCUCUCCCCUAACAAUAGUAUUUUGGUUUAAAAGAUUAUUUACUUAAAUAUUUUUUUAUUUACUCUUUUACAGCUGAAGUUAUAAGGGAUUUGCAGAAGAUUAAACCAACAAUGUGGCAGUGGAAUAACCGUGGACUAGAAUAGGUGAAUCCAUCAGAGUGCAUACUGAUCUUGAGAAUUAGUAGUUUUGCAUGAGAUGAAGCCUACUAAUAUUACUUACUGGAACAGCAAUGGACUUGAGUAGAUGUAAGCUAAAAAUGUUACUUGGAUCAAGAACAAUGGGCUUGCAAAGGUGUGAAGCCUAAACCUGUUAACGUGGUUUAGAGGGGAAUGAGAGAAUGCACAGUGUUAGUACAUGGGUGUUUCAUGACUAAUGUUGCUCAGGACUUCAAGGUGAAAGACCACCACCACAUUGUCUUGAUACAGAGGUACAUCAUUAUGGUGCAUAUAAAGCUUGAAAUAUCCUCGAUUAGAAGAAAGUGCAUUCCAGCGAACUUCAGUAAAUACAUCCACAUUUGAUAACGUUACUAAUAAAGUUAUCCUUUGAAA
RNAcentral lists this long non-coding RNA (1209 nucleotides) under Penaeus monodon (black tiger shrimp). RNAcentral describes it as "uncharacterized LOC119575019, transcript variant X3". The record is from RNAcentral. Lineage: Eukaryota; Metazoa; Arthropoda; Malacostraca; Decapoda; Penaeidae.